This 497-nucleotide ribosomal RNA is filed under the name uncultured bacterium. Its description in RNAcentral is "partial 16S ribosomal RNA". It matches the Rfam family "Bacterial small subunit ribosomal RNA", at positions 28 to 507 of the family's 1533-position model. The record is from RNAcentral.
GAUGAACGCUGGCGGCGUGCCUAAUACAUGCAAGUCGAGCGAACAGACGAGGAGCUUGCUCCUCUGACGUUAGCGGCGGACGGGUGAGUAACACGUGGAUAACCUUCCUAUAAGACUGGGAUAACUUCGGGAAACCGGAGCUAAUACCGGAUAAUAUAUUGAACCGCAUGGUUCAACAGUGAAAGACGGUUUUGCUGUCACUUAUAGAUGGAUCCGCGCCGCAUUAGCUAGUUGGUAAGGUAACGGCUUACCAAGGCAACGAUGCGUAGCCGACCUGAGAGGGUGAUAGGCCACACUGGAACUGGGACACGGUCCAGACGCCUACGGGAGGGAGCAGUAGGGAAUCUUACGCAAUGGGCGAAAGCCUGACGGAGCAACGCCGCGUGAGUGAUGAAGGUCUUCGGAUCGGAAAACUCUGUUAUUAGGGAAGAACAAAUGUGGAAGUAACUAUGCACGUCUUGACGGUACCUAAUCAGAAAGCCACGGCUAACUACGUG